RNAcentral lists this ribosomal RNA (219 nucleotides) under uncultured bacterium. RNAcentral describes it as "partial 16S ribosomal RNA". It matches the Rfam family "Bacterial small subunit ribosomal RNA", at positions 29 to 244 of the family's 1533-position model. The record is from RNAcentral.
AGUGAACGCUGGCGGCAGGCCUAACACAUGCAAGUCGAACGGCAGCACAGAGGAGCUUGCUCCUUGGGUGGCGAGUGGCGGACGGGUGAGGAAUACGUCGGAAUCUGCCUAUUUGUGGGGGAUAACGUAGGGAAACUUACGCUAAUACCGCAUACGACCUACGGGUGAAAGCGGAGGACCUUCGGCUUCGCGCAGAUAGAUGAGCCGACGUCGGAUUAG